RNAcentral lists this ribosomal RNA (301 nucleotides) under uncultured bacterium. RNAcentral's name for it is "partial 16S ribosomal RNA". It matches the Rfam family "Bacterial small subunit ribosomal RNA", at positions 509 to 808 of the family's 1533-position model. The record is from RNAcentral.
CAGUCGCCCGGGAAAACGUAGGGGGCAAGCGUUAUCCGGAUUUACUGGGUGUAAAGGGAGCGCAGGCGGUGCGGCAAGUCUGAUGUGAAAGCCCGGGGCUCAACCCCGGGACUGCAUUGGAAACUGUCGUACUUGAGUAUCGGAGAGGUAAGUGGAAUUCCUAGUGUAGCGGUGAAAUGCGUAGAUAUUAGGAGGAACACCAGUGGCGAAGGCGGCUUACUGGACGAUAACUGACGCUGAGGCUCGAAAGCGUGGGGAGCAAACAGGAUUAGAUACCCCGGUAGUCCCUGUCUCUUAUACC